RNAcentral lists this ribosomal RNA (398 nucleotides) under uncultured bacterium. RNAcentral's name for it is "partial 16S ribosomal RNA". It matches the Rfam family "Bacterial small subunit ribosomal RNA", at positions 523 to 918 of the family's 1533-position model. The record is from RNAcentral.
AUACGUAGGGUGCGAGCGUUGUCCGGAAUUACUGGGCGUAAAGAGCUCGUAGGUGGUUUGUCGCGUCGUCUGUGAAAUUCCGGGGCUUAACUCCGGGCGUGCAGGCGAUACGGGCAUAACUUGAGUACUGUAGGGGAGACUGGAAUUCCUGGUGUAGCGGUGAAAUGCGCAGAUAUCAGGAGGCACACCGGUGGCGAAGGCGGGUCUCUGGGCAGUAACUGACGCUGAGGAGCGAAAGCAUGGGUAGCGAACAGGAUUAGAUACCCUGGUAGUCCAUGCCGUAAACGGUGGGCGCUAGGUGUAGGGGUCUUCCACGACUUCUGUGCCGUAGCUAACGCAUUAAGCGCCCCGCCUGGGGAGUACGGCCGCAAGGCUAAAACUUAAAUGAAUUGACGGGG